CGUUACACCACCAUCAGAACUGACUCCUGUACACUUGGAGGGACCACCAAAAACUCUGGGUUUAAAGAGUAGUUGCUUGGACAGGCGAAACCACGGUUACAGAGACCCUCGGUUUCCAAGCAGACAUUUAUUGAGCUUGCUUUGUAGAAGAGCAGAGCAUAACCUGUACAGGUAAAACAGAGAGGAAAGAGCGAUUACCGAGGCCAAGGAAAAUCACCUGCUGAGCAGGAGG
Molecule: long non-coding RNA, 232 nt
Filed under: Anser brachyrhynchus (Pink-footed goose)
Lineage: Eukaryota; Metazoa; Chordata; Aves; Anseriformes; Anatidae
Description: lncRNA (ENSABRG00000020873.1)
Source: RNAcentral